AACAGGGGUGCUGCGCAACUCCCACCUCCAUGGUGGAACUUUUCCAAGUCACAGAUUCCUUUGGUAGUCGAAGAGAGCUUUUCCAUUUUCAGCUGUAUUUUUGUCAUCUUUUUUAAGGUCUCCAGCAACUCUGUGCAGCAAUUGUCCAGUUCUUCGUUGUAUUUUGGAGACGGCUUUUCAGAUUCUGUGGUACUGUUAUCACAGGUUAUCUCCAGUUUGUUAUCUUGAAGUUGCUCACUGAUCUUCAUGUUGACUAUUUUGUUUGCAGUAGUAAAUCCACUAUCAUUCAG
RNAcentral lists this long non-coding RNA (290 nucleotides) under Gallus gallus (chicken). The record is from RNAcentral. Lineage: Eukaryota; Metazoa; Chordata; Aves; Galliformes; Phasianidae.